This 717-nucleotide ribosomal RNA is filed under the name Priestia megaterium. Its description in RNAcentral is "bacterial SSU rRNA". It matches the Rfam family "Bacterial small subunit ribosomal RNA", at positions 56 to 754 of the family's 1533-position model. Lineage: Bacteria; Bacillati; Bacillota; Bacilli; Caryophanales; Bacillaceae. The record is from RNAcentral.
UGCAGUCGAGCGAACUGAUUAGAAGCUUGCUUCUAUGACGUUAGCGGCGGACGGGUGAGUAACACGUGGGCAACCUGCCUGUAAGACUGGGAUAACUUCGGGAAACCGAAGCUAAUACCGGAUAGGAUCUUCUCCUUCAUGGGAGAUGAUUGAAAGAUGGUUUCGGCUAUCACUUACAGAUGGGCCCGCGGUGCAUUAGCUAGUUGGUGAGGUAACGGCUCACCAAGGCAACGAUGCAUAGCCGACCUGAGAGGGUGAUCGGCCACACUGGGACUGAGACACGGCCCAGACUCCUACGGGAGGCAGCAGUAGGGAAUCUUCCGCAAUGGACGAAAGUCUGACGGAGCAACGCCGCGUGAGUGAUGAAGGCUUUCGGGUCGUAAAACUCUGUUGUUAGGGAAGAACAAGUACAAGAGUAACUGCUUGUACCUUGACGGUACCUAACCAGAAAGCCACGGCUAACUACGUGCCAGCAGCCGCGGUAAUACGUAGGUGGCAAGCGUUAUCCGGAAUUAUUGGGCGUAAAGCGCGCGCAGGCGGUUUCUUAAGUCUGAUGUGAAAGCCCACGGCUCAACCGUGGAGGGUCAUUGGAAACUGGGGAACUUGAGUGCAGAAGAGAAAAGCGGAAUUCCACGUGUAGCGGUGAAAUGCGUAGAGAUGUGGAGGAACACCAGUGGCGAAGGCGGCUUUUUUGGUCUGUAACUGACGCUGAGGCGC